AUGGUCCGCACGAUGACCGAAGGCAUCGUGAAUAGGAUUUUGAGCUCUGCGAAGGCCGAGAUGCUUCAAAAGAACGAGACGGAGAUAAGAUGUCCAUGUCGAAGAUGCAAGCUGAGGAGCCUUAUGGACCCGGAUUCCGUACAGAUGCGGGACCACCUGCUCUUGCGUGGUUUCAUGGAUGGCUAUCGGUGGCAAGGUGAUGAAGAUGAUUAUGAAGUCGUCCAUGGGGGCCGGCCGGCAAGAAAUGAGGAAGGGCAGCAAGACAACCGCGGCGAGGGCGGGCGAGAAGACGAAGAAUCUCCAGGACAUGAUCACGAAGUAGAUGCAGUACACAGUCAUCAUGUAGAAGAUGCUGGACAUGAUGACGAGGAAGAAGCCGGAGCAGGCGAAGGGCAUGAUCAUGAAGAUGAAGAUGCCGGAGCAGACGACGAUGGACCAUCGAUGGGCUGGGUGCAGGACCCUCAUAUUCAAGAGCUGCUUCUCAAGCAGACGGAUAACGCAAGAGCUGCCGCCCGAGAGAAAGCCAAGCUGGAUCAACUGGAGAUAGACGCGGUUACUGCAUUGUAUGAAGGAUGCAGGUCCGAGGAUACCUGCCUGAAAGUAACACUCAUGGCUCUGGAGAUGAAGGUAAAACACAAAAUGACCGACGCAUGCUUCGACGAGAACAUGUCAUUCUGGCACGAACGUCUUCCCAAGGGGAACAAGUGCCCGACCAGUUUCGAGGAGGCGAAGAAAAUCGUGUGUCCUCUGGAUUUACCGCACGUGAAAUACCAUGUGUGCAUGAACAAUUGCAUCAUUUAUCGGGACGAGCACGCGGAGUCUACCAUAUGUCCGGUGUGCGGCGUCACUCGAUACAAGAAGAGGAAGAAAGCUCCUCGAAAAGUGGUGUGGUACUUUCCGAUCACUCCUCGUCUGCAGCGGUAUUUCGCGGACCCUAAGGUAGCAAAGCUCUUGCGUUGGCACGCGGAUAGGGAGGAGAAGCGAGAAGAUGACGCAAAUGAUCCGGAGAUAAAUAAAAAAGACAAGAUGCUGAGUCACCCUAAGGAUGGGAGCCAGUGGCAAGCGUUGAACUUCGAACACCCAGAAUUUGGGAACGAUCCAAGGAACAUCGUGCUGGGCGCGAGCACCGAUGGAGUCAAUUCGUUUGGCAGCCAGAGAAGCACACAUAGCACCUGGCCUGUGUUUGUGUGGAUGUACAACCUUCCCCCCUGGUUGUGCAUGAAGAGGAAGUACAUUCACAUGAGUAUGCUAAUUGAAGGGCCGAAACAACCAGGGAACGACAUCAAUCUGUAUCUGGGGCUGCUGAAAGAGGAGCUAGACACGCUGUGGAAAACGCCAGCCAAUACGUGGGACGCCGCAGAGAAAGAAUAUUUCCCUAUGAGAGCUGCACUGCUCACGACGGUGCACGACUAUCUCGGUUACGGAUAUGUCGCGGGGCAGGUGGUCCACGGAUUUUCUGGAUGCGUCAGGUGCAUGGAUGACACAACGUAUCGCCAGCUAGAUAGAGAUCCCGGGUCUUCGAAAACCGUGUUCAUGGGACAUCGAAGGUGGCUUCGCGACGAUGACUCAUGGAGGAAACGCAAGGAUCUGUUCGAUGGUGAAACCGAAACCCGAAGAUGCCCGCGUACGAGGAGCGGCGAGGAAAUAGACGAGCUGUUGAAAAAUUGGAAAGAUUGCCCAUUGCCGGGAAAUAAGCAAAAGGCGCCAGAGCCGGGAAAGAAGCGAAAGGCGCAAGAGCCGCUGCUGAAGGUAUGGAAAACGAGGUCUGUUUUCUGGGACUUGCCGUACUGGAAGAUCCACCGUGUGCCUCACAGCCUUGAUGUCAUGCAUAUCACGAAGAACGUGUGCGAGAGUCUGCUUGGUACCCUGCUCAACAUGCCGGAGAGGACCAAAGAUGGGCCGAAAGCAAGGGCAGACUUGAAAUCAAUGGGCAUCAGGGAGGAGCUUCACGCUAAUGAUGAUGAUGAUGAGGCGAAGCAGGACACGGAAGUCGUCGCAAAGGCAAAAAGGCCAAGAAGACCGGAAAUGACUUCCCUCCCGCGUGCUUCACUCUAA
This 2055-nucleotide ribosomal RNA is filed under the name Triticum aestivum (bread wheat). RNAcentral describes it as "partial small subunit ribosomal RNA". The record is from RNAcentral. Lineage: Eukaryota; Viridiplantae; Streptophyta; Magnoliopsida; Poales; Poaceae.